This 253-nucleotide ribosomal RNA is filed under the name uncultured bacterium. Its description in RNAcentral is "partial 16S ribosomal RNA". It matches the Rfam family "Bacterial small subunit ribosomal RNA", at positions 524 to 776 of the family's 1533-position model. The record is from RNAcentral.
UACGUAGGGACCGAGCGUUGUCCGGAAUCAUUGGGCGUAAAGAGCGUGUAGGCGGCCAACUAAGUCCUGCGUGAAAUCUCGGGGCUCAACCCCGAGCGGUCGUGGGAAACUGGUUGGCUAGAGUGCGGGAGAGGAGAGUGGAAUUCCUGGUGUAGCGGUGAAAUGCGCAGAUAUCAGGAGGAACACUAAUGGCGAAGGCAGCUCGCUGGGACGGUACUGACGCUGAGGCGCGAAAGCGUGGGGAGCAAACAGG